UACGGGGGGGGCAAGCGUUGUUCGGAUUUACUGGGCGUAAAGGGAGCGUAGGCUGUUGGUUAAGUCCGAUGUGAAAUCUUCACCGCUUAACGGGAAGUUGUCAUCGGAAACUGGCCAGCUAGAGUAAGGUAGAGGCAAGCGGAAUUCCUGGUGUAGCGGUGGAAUGUGUAGAUAUCAGGAAGAACAUCUGUGGCGAAGGCGGCUUGCUGGGCCUUUACUGACGCUGAGGCUCGAAAGCGUGGGGAGCAAACGGG
Molecule: ribosomal RNA, 254 nt
Filed under: uncultured bacterium
Lineage: Bacteria
Description: partial 16S ribosomal RNA
Rfam family: Bacterial small subunit ribosomal RNA
Source: RNAcentral